Molecule: transfer RNA, 74 nt
Filed under: Shewanella sp. MBTL60-112-B1
Lineage: Bacteria; Pseudomonadati; Pseudomonadota; Gammaproteobacteria; Alteromonadales; Shewanellaceae
Description: tRNA-Val
Rfam family: tRNA
About the family: Transfer RNA (tRNA) molecules are approximately 80 nucleotides in length.
Source: RNAcentral
GGUCGAUUAGCUCAGCUGGGAGAGCACCUCCCUUACAAGGAGGGGGUCACUGGUUCGAGCCCAGUAUCGACCAC